ACUACGGGCGGCAGCAGUGGGGGAUAUUGCACAAUGGGGGGAACCCUGAUGCAGCGACGCCGCGUGGGUGAAGAAGCGCCUCGGCGCGUAAAGCCCUGUCAGCAGGGAAGAAAAUGACGGUACCUGAAGAAGAAGCCCCGGCUAACUACGUGCCAGCAGCCGCGGUAAUACGUAGGGGGCAAGCGUUAUCCGGAUUUACUGGGUGUAAAGGGGGCGCAGACGGGGAUGCAAGCCAGGAGGGAAAGCCCGGGGCCCAACCCCGGGACUGCUCUUGGAACUGCGUGGCUGGAGUGCAGGAGGGGCAGGCGGAAUUCCUGGUGUAGCGGUGAAAUGCGUAGAUAUCAGGAGGAACACCGGUGGCGAAGGCGGCCUGCUGGACUGCAACUGACGUUGAGGCCCGAAAGCGUGGGGAGCAAACAGGAUUAGAUACCCCUGUAGUC
RNAcentral lists this ribosomal RNA (440 nucleotides) under uncultured bacterium. RNAcentral's name for it is "partial 16S ribosomal RNA". It matches the Rfam family "Bacterial small subunit ribosomal RNA", at positions 338 to 795 of the family's 1533-position model. The record is from RNAcentral.